Molecule: non-coding RNA, 542 nt
Organism: Peromyscus maniculatus bairdii (prairie deer mouse)
Lineage: Eukaryota; Metazoa; Chordata; Mammalia; Rodentia; Cricetidae
Source: RefSeq, a predicted model, not a curated record
GAGCGGCCUGGAGCCGCCGCCAGGACAAGGAAGAUGUAAAGUACUGCAAUGAGAGUAUUGCAGAGGCCUCUCCAGGCUUCCCAUACUACGCAUUAAGCAUCUGAGGAACCCAGACAGAGCCAUGGUGCACUAGAUCCAUUAAUGUCUAAGGAUAAUGAAGAAAACAGCAGGGACAGCACCAUAAGCUGAGCGCUCAGACAGAAUGUGGUCCAAGACAGCAGCAUCCUGAUGUUAUUGAAUAUUUCACCAUCACAGGCCUAUGUGUUUACCCCUGUGUGGCCUAUGCACUGGUCUCUGUGGAGGUGCAUUCCAGCCUGUGUGUUCCCCUGCUCCAGCGCGUGCUUCCAUGCCUGCCGGCGUCUGCCUGCAGCAGUACAUAUGGUGGUCUGCCGUGGAUUUUCCGUGUGACUCCUCAUGUUCUCUUCACCCUCCCAUUCUCUCAUGAAACCCUCUUUUCCUGAAGCCAGAGCUCCAUCCUCACAGCCUCCCCCCCAACUCAGGUUUCUCUAUCAUCACCAUCUUAUGGGGUUUGGGAGAGUCAC